ACCAACCCAAACAAACAAAAACUAGAAAGAAAUGAUUUUAAAAUCCUUGUUCUCCUGGAGCUUCCAUUCUAGGAAAGAAAAGACAGUCAGAACCCAAAAUAUAUUCUGUACUAUAUCAGGUAGUGAUAGGCCCAGUGGAGAAAAUAAACCAGGAAGGAAGCUUAGAGCAAGGAUGGCUGACAGCGUUGACCCGGAGGGCUUCUCACACAAUCAUUGAUCAGGACUGACCGCAUAGCUGAGCAGGUCAAGAUGCUUUCUGCUUACCUGCCAAACGAAAUUGGAUCCCUGGGGUCCAUAUGUUGUCUUGUGACCCCCAUACAUUGACAUUGGUUUAUACACAUGCAUGUGAAUAAAUUAAUACAUUUGAUUGUAAAACAUUUUUUUCUUUAAAGAGCAUUGGUCUGCUCCAAGAGCUACAGGUGGCUGACUGGCAUCUCCAUGAAGGAUGACAAGGCCAGGGCCACAGGAGCUGCACAGGCUAGGAAGACUGAGAAGAGAUGGAGACACUGGAAUCUGAGCUCAGAUUCUGCCUGAGGCUAGGCACUAUGAAAGUACAAGCCCUCCCUGUCCUCCAGUUGCCAACACUGUGCAUCCAAAUGUCCUGCUCCUCCAAGUCUUCAUACUGCUCUGUGUUCAUGACAGCUGUCAGGUGCCUCCAGGACUUCAAACUUCCUGCUUGGAAAGAGCCAGAAGACAUCUGUCUCCUCCACUCUCCAACUUCCAUCGACUGAGUUUUCUCCCUCAGGCCUUGGCCAUGGCAGAGCGGAGGAGAGCUGGAAUCCAGCCCAGCUUUUUACCAAUAAUUCAUCACGUGACCUUACACUUCCUCUUGGAGCCUCCUUGCCUUCAUUUGUAAAUCGAGGGGGUUCAGACUAGACUGUUUUUCAGGCCUAAUCCUGACCUCUAAACGACUGUAUUCAUUGAUCUUUUCUGCUGGUUCAUUCAUACACAGCAUUUCCACUUCCUGACAUAGUAUAUUUUUUAAAAAUGUUUGUUUACUGUCUGUCUUACUCCACUUCGGUUCCUUGCUCCCUGAGGGCAGGAGAUUUUGCUUGUUUUAGUCACUGCCAGAUUCCUGCCAUCUGCAAAAAGAAAAAGAAAAAAAAAAAGAGGUGUGAGUUUGUGUCUGUGUUCUGGAAGGAAGCUGAGGUUGAACAUUUAGAAUCCAGAA
Grammomys surdaster is the source of this 1171-nucleotide long non-coding RNA. RefSeq lists it as uncharacterized. Lineage: Eukaryota; Metazoa; Chordata; Mammalia; Rodentia; Muridae. The transcript is spliced from 3 exons. The record is from RefSeq and is a predicted model, not a curated record.